UGCAAAUAUCAAAUGUUAGCAUGAGCCAAA
RNAcentral lists this non-coding RNA (30 nucleotides) under Mus musculus (house mouse). Lineage: Eukaryota; Metazoa; Chordata; Mammalia; Rodentia; Muridae. The record is from RNAcentral.